RNA transcript from Toxorhynchites rutilus septentrionalis, 910 nucleotides. RefSeq lists it as uncharacterized. The record is from RefSeq and is a predicted model, not a curated record. NCBI's taxonomy places the organism in Eukaryota, Metazoa, Arthropoda, Insecta, Diptera, Culicidae. The transcript has 3 exons.
GAUGGGCAACAUCGAGCCCGAAACCGGUCGACGAAAAAAGUCAUUUUAACCCGUUUAAUGUUUGUAAGGACUAUAAGUGUUGUGUCUUAGUCCCGUGUCGCGUCUCGUGAGUGGUCGCAGCUAAAAUGUAUACUAAAAUUAUAAUUUAUGCAACAAUUCAUCAUUUCACAUGUUGUGUGAACUUAUUUACGAACCAAAAUGGUGCUACUAUGAAUAAUAGGAAACAGUACUCAGUAUGAACAAAAGUUGUCAGUUGAUUGAGCUUGAGCUUGGACUUGGGUAGACUGUACAGUUCGUAGUUGCUCUCCGUGAUUGACCUGAACCAACCAAAUUGCACAAAGAACACACAGAAUAACGCUCGGGACUAGCAAAUUAUUCUCAUUUUGUAAUGUUCGGUGAUUCGAGCUUUAAAUGGUCAAUAACGACGCCGGCCACGUCCUUAUGUUAGUAUGAUAUUCGCUGCCCGAAGGCCAGAAGGGUCGCCUCUAUAGCGUGGUUCCCUAGCGUUUAUCAUGGAAGGGAUAAUUGUUAGUGGGGAGAGCACACCCUCAAGGUGGCCUUCUACAAGCUGUUCGAGCAGCAUUUUCAAAACCUCAACGAACUCUGUUCAUGUAUUGUCUUCAUCAUUUCCGUAAUCGUUUUGUGGUAUGUGGCUACAUGGAUAAUCGGUACCAUCAUCAGACUGCUCUUGCCGCUGUUCGUGUGUGUUGUGUUUCUGAUCAUUUUGAACGAGAAGUAUCCUACCGCAUUACCGAACCUAGUGAAGCUGUUCCACAACAUAUAUUCCUGCGCGUUGAACUAUUUUGAGAAAUUAACUUCUUAGCACAUCUUUUCUGAUAAAACAUAUAUUCAACAAUAAAUAUGAUCUUGUUAUUAUUAAAUAAUACACAAUACAAAAUAAACUGAUUUU